AUACGGAGGGUGCAAGCGUUGUUCGGAAUCACUGGGCGUAAAGGGCGCGCAGGCGGCUUGGUAAGUCAGAUGUGAAAGCCCACGGCUCAACCGUGGAAGUGCAUUUGAAACUGUCAGACUUGAGUACUAGAGGGGAAAGUGGAAUUCCCGGUGUAGAGGUGAAAUUCGUAGAUAUCGGGAGGAAUACCGGUGGCGAAGGCGACUUUCUGGCUAGAUACUGACGCUGAGGCGCGAAAGCGUGGGGAGCAAACAGGAUUAGAAACCCCAGUAGUCC
RNAcentral lists this ribosomal RNA (274 nucleotides) under uncultured bacterium. RNAcentral's name for it is "partial 16S ribosomal RNA". It matches the Rfam family "Bacterial small subunit ribosomal RNA", at positions 523 to 796 of the family's 1533-position model. The record is from RNAcentral.